This 253-nucleotide ribosomal RNA is filed under the name Alteribacillus persepolensis. RNAcentral's name for it is "16S rRNA. Bacterial SSU". It matches the Rfam family "Bacterial small subunit ribosomal RNA", at positions 1 to 227 of the family's 1533-position model. Lineage: Bacteria; Bacillati; Bacillota; Bacilli; Caryophanales; Bacillaceae. The record is from RNAcentral.
UUUUCAUGGAGAGUUUGAUCCUGGCUCAGGACGAACGCUGGCGGCGUGCCUAAUACAUGCAAGUCGAGCGCGGGAAGCAGUCUGAUCCCUUCGGGGUGACGAUUGUGGAACGAGCGGCGGACGGGUGAGUAACACGUGGGCAACCUGCCUUGCAGACUGGGAUAACCUCGGGAAACCGGGGCUAAUACCGGAUAACCAAUCUCAUCGCAUGGAGAGAUUGUAAAAGUAGGGAUUAUCCUUACACUGCAAGAUG